Molecule: microRNA, 21 nt
Filed under: Physcomitrium patens
Lineage: Eukaryota; Viridiplantae; Streptophyta; Bryopsida; Funariales; Funariaceae
Description: ppt-miR1074
Source: miRBase by way of RNAcentral
AGGGUUGUUAGUUGUGUUGAU